UACGUAGGGGACAAGCGUUAUCCGGAUUUAUUGGGCGUAAAGCGUGUGUAGGCGGUUUGUUAAGUUUAAGAUUAAAGCCCGAGGCUCAACCUCGGUUCGUCUUAAAAACUGGCAGACUUGAGCAAGAUAGAGGUAAAUGGAAUUUCUAGUGUAGCGGUAAAAUGCGUAGAUAUUAGAAGGAACACCAGUGGCGAAGGCGAUUUACUGGGUCUUUACUGACGCUGAGACACGAAAGCGUGGGGAGCAAAUAGG
RNAcentral lists this ribosomal RNA (252 nucleotides) under uncultured bacterium. RNAcentral describes it as "partial 16S ribosomal RNA". It matches the Rfam family "Bacterial small subunit ribosomal RNA", at positions 524 to 776 of the family's 1533-position model. The record is from RNAcentral.